This 401-nucleotide long non-coding RNA is filed under the name Calidris pugnax (ruff). Its description in RNAcentral is "lncRNA (ENSCPUG00000015947.1)". The record is from RNAcentral. Lineage: Eukaryota; Metazoa; Chordata; Aves; Charadriiformes; Scolopacidae.
GGGGGGCGUACGCAGAGAUGUUCUCGAGCUCUGUGUCUCCUCUCUGUUUUGCUCUGGUGCUUCUGAGAGGAGUUUUGAGCUGUUUUAAAGAAUGGAUGAGGGAAAGCGAUGAGCAUAAUUUUUUUAUUUCCCCAGAUUGUUCAUUUUAUGUCCUUUUGUCUUGCAGGGGAACCCAGGAUUUCCAGGUGCUCCAGCUAUGGGGGUUUUGGGACCUCCAGGCAAGAAAGGUGUCAGGGGUGAUAUUGGACCAACAGGGGCCCUGGGACCACAAGGAGACAAAGGAAUACAAGGAGACAAAGGAGAGAAGGUAAUGUAUUUGCUUUUCUUGGCACAUCCUUUAUGGGUAGAAGGGUUUAUUUUGUUUGUGUCCGCAAAGGAAACGCUGAAGCAGAUGGAGUUCC